UGGCGGCGUGGAUAAGACAUGCAAGUCGAACGGGAGAAUUGCUAGCUUGCUAAUAAUUCUCUAGUGGCGCACGGGUGAGUAACACGUGAGUAACCUGCCCCCAAGAGUGGGAUAGCCCCGGGAAACUGGGAUUAAUACCGCAUAAAAUCGCAAGAUUAAAGCAGCAAUGCGCUUGGGGAUGGGCUCGCGUCCUAUUAGUUAGUUGGUGAGGUAACGGCUCACCAAGGCGAUGACGGGUAGCCGGUCUGAGAGGAUGUCCGGCCACACUGGAACUGAGACACGGUCCAGACACCUACGGGUGGCAGCAGUCGAGAAUCAUUCACAAUGGGGGAAACCCUGAUGGUGCGACGCCGCGUGGGGGAAUGAAGGUCUUCGGAUCGUAAACCCCUGUCAUGUGGGAGCAAAUUAAAAAGAUAGUACCACAAGAGGAAGAGACGGCUAACUCUGUGCCAGCAGCCGCGGUAAUACAGAGGUCUCAAGCGUUGUUCGGAAUCACUGGGCGUAAAGCGUGCGUAGGCGGUUUCGUAAGUCGUGUGUGAAAGGCGGGGGCUCAACCCCCGGACUGCACAUGAUACUGCGAGACUAGAGUAAUGGAGGGGGAACCGGAAUUCACGGUGUAGCA
This 622-nucleotide ribosomal RNA is filed under the name Akkermansia muciniphila. Its description in RNAcentral is "bacterial SSU rRNA". It matches the Rfam family "Bacterial small subunit ribosomal RNA", at positions 37 to 680 of the family's 1533-position model. Lineage: Bacteria; Pseudomonadati; Verrucomicrobiota; Verrucomicrobiia; Verrucomicrobiales; Akkermansiaceae. The record is from RNAcentral.